This 253-nucleotide ribosomal RNA is filed under the name uncultured prokaryote. RNAcentral's name for it is "partial 16S ribosomal RNA". It matches the Rfam family "Bacterial small subunit ribosomal RNA", at positions 525 to 777 of the family's 1533-position model. The record is from RNAcentral.
ACGUAGGCAGCGAGCGUUGUUCGGAAUUACUGGGCGUAAAGAGUGUGUAGGCGGUGCUCUAAGUUCGGUGUGAAAUCUCCUGGCUCAACUGGGAGGGUGCGCCGGAAACUGGAGUGCUUGAGCGUGGGAGAGGAGAGCGGAAUUCCUGGUGUAGCGGUGAAAUGCGUAGAUAUCAGGAGGAACACCUGUGGUGUAGACGGCUUUCUGGACCAUAGCUGACGCUGAGACGCGAAAGCGUGGGUAGCGAACAGGA